Candidatus Daviesbacteria bacterium is the source of this 87-nucleotide non-coding RNA. Lineage: Bacteria; Candidatus Daviesiibacteriota. The record is from Rfam.
GGAGAGGUCGCAUAGUGGCCUAGUGCGGCGCAGUGCUAAUGCGCUGUCCCCGUAAGGGGACCGAGGGUUCAAAUCCCUCCCUCUCCG